This 232-nucleotide ribosomal RNA is filed under the name uncultured bacterium. RNAcentral describes it as "partial 16S ribosomal RNA". It matches the Rfam family "Bacterial small subunit ribosomal RNA", at positions 118 to 350 of the family's 1533-position model. The record is from RNAcentral.
UGGGCAACCUGCCCCCGACCCUGGGAUAACCCCGGGAAACCGGAGCUAAUACCGGAUACUCUCCUCUGACCACCUGGUCGGAUGAGGAAAGGUCCGCCGGUCGGGGAUGGGCCCGCGGCCUAUCAGCUUGUUGGUGGGGUAACGGCCUACCAAGGCAUCGACGGGUAGCUGGUCUGAGAGGACGACCAGCCACACUGGGACUGAGACACGGCCCAGACUCCUACGGGAGGCA